GCCCUUUUCCGGUUGAUCCUGCCGGAGGCCAUUGCUAUCGGGGUCCGAUUUAGCCAUGCUAGUCGAACGAGUUGAGACUCGUGGCGACCAGCUCAGUAACACGUGGCCAACCCACCCUGUAGACCGGAAUAGUCUCGGGAAACUGAGGGCAAUACCGGAUAGGCGAUCCGCGCUGGGAUGCGGGAUCGCCGAAAGGUGAGCCGCUACAGGACGGGGCUGCGGCCGAUUAGGUAGACGGUGGGGUAACGGCCCACCGUGCCAGUAAUCGGUACGGGUCAUGAGAGUGAGAGCCCGGAGACGGACUCUGAGACAAGAGUCCGGGCCCUACGGGGCGCAGCAGGCGCGAAACCUUUACACUGCACGCGAGUGCGAUAGGGGGACCCCGAGUGCGGAGGCAUAGUGCCUUCGCUUUUCUGGACUGUAGGGACGUCCAGGAAGAAGGGCUGGGCAAGACCGGUGCCAGCCGCCGCGGUAAUACCGGCAGCCCGAGUGAUGGCCGAUAUUAUUGGGCCUAAAGCGUCCGUAGCUGGCCGCGUACGUCCGUC
This 545-nucleotide ribosomal RNA is filed under the name uncultured archaeon. RNAcentral describes it as "bacterial SSU rRNA". It matches the Rfam family "Archaeal small subunit ribosomal RNA", at positions 1 to 543 of the family's 1478-position model. The record is from RNAcentral.